Molecule: ribosomal RNA, 253 nt
Filed under: uncultured bacterium
Lineage: Bacteria
Description: partial 16S ribosomal RNA
Rfam family: Bacterial small subunit ribosomal RNA
Source: RNAcentral
UACGUAGGGCGCAAGCGUUGUCCGGAAUUAUUGGGCGUAAAGAGCUCGUAGGCGGUUUGUCGCGUCUGUCGUGAAAGCUUGGGGCUUAACCCCAAGUCUGCGGUGGAUACGGGCAGACUAGAGGCAGGUAGGGGAGAACGGAAUUCCUGGUGUAGCGGUGAAAUGCGCAGAUAUCAGGAGGAACACCGGUGGCGAAGGCGGUUCUCUGGGCAUUACCUGACGCUGAGGAGCGAAAGUGUGGGGAGCGAACAGG